RNAcentral lists this long non-coding RNA (5485 nucleotides) under Nicotiana tabacum (common tobacco). RNAcentral's name for it is "long non-coding RNA (NTAB_LNC009592)". Lineage: Eukaryota; Viridiplantae; Streptophyta; Magnoliopsida; Solanales; Solanaceae. The record is from RNAcentral.
AGUGGAGCAAGUCAAAUAUUAUAGCAAAUAAAACAUAUGGACCCCAUAGGCAUGUUCUCUAUCCUUUAUGCAAGAAUAAAGCACACCCGUUCCCCAAUUUCACUAACGCCCCAAUUAUUUGUUAUUACAAGUUACAGGACCAAAAUAGAAUAAUAAAAACUCAAUGAUGAUAAAAUACAGACUGAAAUAACUACGGGCCCCAUCGAACAGUACAGGCCCACUAUAAAAUAACCCAGUGAAUUCCUGGGCCUUCAGCAGCCUCACCAACCAACAGAUCCAAAUUGCAGGCUCACAAGGACAAUGUAAUCUUCCUGACUCCAAUGCCUAGGUCCAACCAUGCAGGUGACAAACCGCUCCUGGAAUUAAUUAAACAACUUUUCACACUUAACUCCUAAAGCUGUAACUAACAACAGUUCUAACCAAAGCACAUAGACGAGAUCACAUGAAACACUGACAAGUUCACAAGGCAGGUUCAUGCUUGUGUUCUUAGAAACAAAGCUAAAGUGAUAGGAUUGACCAUUAUAGGAUAGUGAAUUAUUCCAAAAGAGUUUCAAAAGUAAAAUGAUGCAGAAUUAGCCUAAAAGAACUUUAGACACAAGAUUUAAACAUGAAAAUCUAAUAGUCGUAGACAAGAACAAAUAGAGCAUAGCCUCCAUAUGCAAGUUUUAACAUGAAGGCUUAGUGAAAAGCAACAUAACAGAAUAGGUUCAUGAUCGAGCAACCACUUAGUUGAGAAUGAGAAAAACUUUAACACGCUAAACAUCAGUCAUAAUACCAAAGUUCAGAAACAAUAUCAGAACUCAUGAUAGGUGAAAAUAUAUCAACUCCAGAUUAACAAGAUAUGCAGACACUAGGUCUUGAUAACGUAUAGGAGAAGGGGCUAGAUAUUGAAUCUCAUUCUAAAGGUCUUUAGGCAAUAUUAAAGAGCACUGGAUUGAACAAAUCAGGGACCACACGUUAAGUAGAAAUAAAACAUGUUUGGCUAAUUAACGUGAUCAAUAAUUAAGUUAUACAUAGAUGAUUUAACAUGAAUUAAAACAUAUUCUAGGCAUAAAUUGAUUUAUCACAAGAAUUCAGAAUAAGGUAGAAGAUAAAAUCAGGACAAGCAGUAGAUGUAAGCAUUCAGACACACACAAACACACCAGGCUAGACAUGCUUCAGAAAGCUAGAAUCAUAGUUAGAAUUUAGGCUAUUUCAGAUGCUAGAAAAAUACAGAACCAUGAGAAUAACUUCAGAGCAAAUAGGCUGCAAACAGAGAUGACAUAGUAGCAUAUUGAUUCACAAAUAUCUCAAUGACAUAGAUAUACAGAGCAAUAACACACACGAACAGAGAAUGAAACUGCAAAGGCCGAAGGAACUUACCAUUACCAAUUAACGAACAAGCAAAUGAGAGGAGCAAUUUUCAGAAGUUAUUCAAUUAAUAGUAGCAAAGAGCAGUAGAAUCUCCAAAAUCCUAGUGUGUCAGAGUUCCCAAGGGUCUCGAAUGAACCCCGGGCAAUGCUCACACUGAGAAAGAAUACAUUUGAAUUCAAAUGGCCUUGGAUUUCUGCCAGCCAAGGUCUCAAAUUCCAGAAUAUAAUGAGUGAGAAUAAGAGAAUAAUGCAGUGAUUCAGCAAUAAUCCUUGAGGCAUCAAAAGGGAACGGGGAAGGGAUUUAUGUAGUGGUAGAAGUUGAACGAACAAACAUAGAAGAUAGUUAAUUAAGCACAAAAUAAGGAAAGAAAAUCAAUCAAGCUCAAGCAAGGAAAAGGAAAAUCGCAACAUAUCCUAUUCCGAUUCAGAAUAGGUAAAAAUCGGACAAACCCUAGUUUGACGAGUAGUAAAAACAUUAGCCAAGAAUCUCGGUGAAUUGGACCCAUACGACCUUGUUGAGAAUGUAUACAGAUGAAUUUUCGUCUGAAUCUUGUAGGUUGAGGACGAUUGUACUCGAUUCGUAGAGGCAAUACUUGCCAAAAUCGGGCAAGUACUAAGUAAUACCACGAGCGUAUGAAUGACAAUGAGAUAGUGCAAAUAAUGUAAGAAGAUCGUGAAAGAAUUUCACGAUUUAGCUGGGUUUUGAGGGGAUUUGGGAGGAGGCGGCUAGGGUUUGGUGUAGGAGCGGGGAGAUGAGAGAAUGCAGAGGCGGCUGGGUAAGAUCAACGGCCAUGAUUAAAAGUGAAGUGGGGCAGAUUGUAAGGCGGGUCACGACCGGGUAAGGGGUUGUUUAGUUUGGGCUUGGGGUUAUUGGGCUAAGGUUUUGGGGUUUGGGCCGGUGUAAUUAUAAAAAUGACUAAUAAAUAAUAAAAAUAUUAUUCGUACAGUAAAAUAAAAACUUAACAUUAUAAAAAUAUAAGAAAAGCUAUUUUGAUAUAAAUAAUAUAAUAAAUAUAAUUAUGUAUAGAAUAUAGGCUAUUAUUGUAAAAUUAUAUAAAAUAGCUUUAAAAAUAUAAAUAUAAUUAUAUAAAAAGCAAUUAAAAUAUUUUGAGACAUAUAUGUGGAUGAAAAUAAUAAAUUUAGAUAAUAAAUCACCACAAAAUAAUUUAGAGGGUAAUCAAUACAUAUUCAAGUAAUUUAAAUACAAGAAAAUCAAUUUUAAAGCUUUUAAAAAUUAUGAAACAUUAUAGAAAAUACUUGUAUGACUCUCGUAAAUUGGUGAUGAUGCAGGAAUGAUAUUUUUAAACAUAUAAGAUAUUUAUAAAAAUAUGAGGGCAAAAUUGGGUAUAAACAAUGGGCUAGGUGUUUGGGCCUGAUUUUUAGUCUAGAAUUAGCUCAAAAUUGGGCUACAUUUUAAAUACACGAAAUUCAUAAAACAUAAAUUAUAGAAAAUGACUAAUAAAUAAUAAAUAUAUUAUUUAUUCAGUAAAAUGAUUGAAAAUAAUAGCUUAACAUUAUAAAAAAUAAAAAAAAAUACUAUUUUGGCAUAAAUAAUAUAAUAAACGCAAUUAUUGUAACUAGUAUAGAUAAAAUAGAAAAAUACAAAUAUUAUGAUGUAAAAAUGAGAUAAAAUAUUAUAAAAUGCAUAUGGGUAUAAAAUAAUAAAUUUUGAUGAUCAAAUCACCCUAAAAUAAUUUAAAGGGAUAAUUAAUAAAUAUUUGAACAAGAAAAUCAAUUUUAAAGCUUUAAAAAGUUUUAUGGUAAAUUACAGAAAAUACUUAUAUGACCCUUGUAAAUUAGGUAAUAAUGCAAAUGAUAUUUUGAAAGUAUAUAUAAUACUUUAUAAAAUAUGAGGACAAAAUAGGGUAUCAACACCUUCCACGGACACGAUGAACAAUAACCCCUGCCAACAACUUACCUCCGCGAUCGCGACAGCCUCUUCGCGAUCGUAAUGAAUGAAUCUAGAAGCACAGAAUCAGCAGUCCCAACAUGAUGGAAAUGGUCUGAAACCCAUCCAAAACACACCAACCAAUCCCAAAACAUGAAAUGAACUUAUUCGAGGCCACAAAUCACAUUAAACAAUUUCAAAACCACGAAUCGCACGCCAAUUCAAGCCUAAUGAACUAAUAAACUUUCAACUUCCAAAACUCAUGCCGAACCAUAUAAAAUUAACUCCGAAUGACCUCAAAUUUUUGCAUCCUAGUACCAAAUGACAUAACGGUCCUAUUCCAUAUUCCGAAACCAAAAUACAAACCCGAUAUCAAUAAAGUCAUCUCCCGGUCAAACCAUUCAACCUUCCAAACCAUAAACUUUUCAACUUUCGUCAAUAAGCAUCAAAUCAAUCUACGGACCUCCAAAUCUAAAUUUGAACAUAUUCCUAAGUCCAAAAUCACUAUACGAAGCUAUUGAAACCAUCAAAACUCCAUUCCGGAGUUGUCUACACAAAAUGCAACCUCCGGUCAACUCUUUUAACUAAAGAUUCUAACCUUGGAACUAAAUUUUCCAAUUCACUCCGAAACCUCCCCGGAACCAAACUAAUCACCCCGACAAGUCACGUAUUCACAAAUACACAUAAGUAAAGCAUCAAAUAGGGAAAAUGGGGCUAUAAUACCCAAAAUGACCGGCCGUGUCGUUGCAAUAUGCAUGCUCAAGAUCCCUUUCUCAACAACUCACAGCACAAAUCCAUGCACCUGACACAAGCCACAUGUUCAACCAAGUACAGCAAAACCCAGUUGCCUAUGCUCACACGGCCAAAAGUAACAUGGGUAGUCACCUGACUCCGGAGGGACGGAUCCAUAUCCAAGCAUUGAUGGCUAUGACUAAUAAAAAUGCAGAUAAAAGCUCGUAGAGCUAAAAGAUGGCUAUGACUAAUCAUGUAAUUCAAUUUAUUAUUAAAAAGGCUCAAUAAGCUAUUUAAGCAUGCAAAAGUUUAAUUAUCUCAUUUAACAUGAGCCAUUUAAUCCACAGAAACAACCAAAUCCUGGAGAAAAUAAGGCAAAUGUAGGACUAUAGAUUAAUAAUAAAUCUUAUCAAGGAAAAAUAAUCCUUUGUGUCCGAAUCCACAAGUCAUAACAUUAAAUAUGCUCCUAAAUCAUAUUUAUAAAUUAUCACAUUGUCAUAAAAUCAAUUGAAACAUGGAUAUUAACUUCAUAUAAUCCAAGAAAAACAUAACUCUAGUAAAUGAUACCGGAUAUGGUCAGAACCUAGCUACGCAUAUACGCUCGUCGCCUUGUAUAUACGUGGAUCCUAAAUCGAGCAACAAGUAACAAAUAGAUCGUCUAUGGGGAGAAUUACCUCUUAAAAGGAUAGACAAGAGACUUACCUAUAUUCGGCAAGAUUCAAUCAACAACAAACCACCUUUUCCGUUCAAAUCCAACACCAAACAACUUGAAUCUAGUCAAAUACAACUCAAUAACGUCAAACAAAGCCAUAUCAAUCAAUUUUAAAUAAUAAAGUUUCAAUCUUUAAUCAAAUACCCAAAAUUCAACCCGGACCCACAUAGUCAAUACCCGAGUCAAGGGGUAAAUAUCGACUACCCAUAACCCACUAGUCCAAAUAUAUGAUUAAAUAACAAAACCGAGUCCAAAUCGACCCUCAUAUCCCCAAUAUUCACCCUCUUAAGUUGUAGACAAAAACCUCAAUUUUUCUUCAAAAUUCCAUGAUUAAAGUAUACAAAUCAAUGGGGAAUCAAGAUACAUAUUCAAAUCCAAGUGAUAAUUACUUACCCAUAACAUAGUAGUGAAAAUCUCUUCCAGUAUCACCUCUUCCCGUGCUCCAAAACUCAAAAUAAUAAAAAAUGAGCAAACCCUCGAAAUAUAAACGUUCUACCAGGUAUUCCGCAUCUGCAACAAAAGCCUCGCAAUUGGGAUCUCGUAUGUGCGACAAAAAUCUCACAUCUGUGAGAAACCUUCGCAAGCCUCGGUUCUACUUGUACGACAAAAUCAAUGCAUAUGCGACACAGCACCCUGUCAAACCUCGCAAAAGCACAACCUUCUCCAUAGAUAUACCUUGCACCUGCGGUCCCACUAAUCAUAGGUGUGACCAACCACUGGAUCAGCAUAACACAUAGAAGUGACCUCCUUCACGUUGCACCUGCGCUCUAUACUUUGCAGGUGCAAUGCACCAGUACUAGC